RNAcentral lists this ribosomal RNA (415 nucleotides) under uncultured microorganism. RNAcentral's name for it is "bacterial SSU rRNA". It matches the Rfam family "Archaeal small subunit ribosomal RNA", at positions 330 to 745 of the family's 1478-position model. The record is from RNAcentral.
GUGCAGCAGGCGCGAAACCUCCGCAAUGCGGGAAACCGCGACGGGGGGACCCCGAGUGCCGUGGCAACGCCACGGUUUUUCCGGAGUGUAAAAAGCUCCGGGAAUAAGGGCUGGGCAAGGCCGGUGGCAGCCGCCGCGGUAAUACCGGCGGCCCGAGUGGUGGCCGCUAUUAUUGGGCCUAAAAGCGUCCGUAGCCGGGCCCGUAAGUCCCUGGCGAAAUCCCACGGCUCAAUCGUGGGGCUUGCUGGGGAUACUGCGGGUCUUGGGACCGGGAGAGGCGGGGGGUACCCCUGGGGUAGGGGUGAAAUCCUAUAAUCCCAGGGGGACCGCCAGUGGCGAAGGCGCCCCGCUGGAACGGGUCCGACGGUGAGGGACGAAGGCCAGGGGAGCAAACCGGAUUAGAUACCCGCGUAGU